UUAACAGCUUCCUGGUGGCCCAGUCAACUGGCUGGGCUGCAUUCUGGGACCAGCACAAGGUCCAAGGUCUCCCAAGGGGCUGCCCGUUUCUGAUUUUCUAGGACCAGAGCCCCAGGGCAAGAUGGGCCGCCCGGGGCCCCAAGGAGAGAAGAUCUCUGACACCCAGCUUUCUGGGGUCCCCAAUGCCCUCGGUGAUGCCCAUGGUGAUGCCAUCCCUGGCUCGGAGGACUCGGACCUGGUGCCCUCAGUGACCCUGGCUGUGGCCCUCACCAUGCUGUUCUUCCUACUGCUGGCCUGGUUCGUGUGGGGCCAGGAUCGCCAAACCUCCCGCUGACCUGGAGUGGCCCCCUACCAGCUGCCUCAGGAUCUGGUUCUAGGACAGCCCAGAGUGACACUGGGGAGUCAGCCAGCGACAUUUAACAGUGAGGAUAAAGGUCAGAGCUCCCUGCAGGCUGGGGAAGGCAUCCCCAGUGGACACCAUAGAUGUGAAGCUCAGUGGCUUUUUAUAGAUUUUGGGACAGGUGAACAGGCCAGGUGCAGGGCCACUGGAGGUUGCGGUGUCCGGGCCCCAGUUCUUCAUUUGCAUUGGACUUUUUCCAGGGCUUCUCCCAUUUGUUUAGGGAACUGUUCUUUGUCCCCUGUGUCCCAUUAGGCCCUGAUAUUGGUUUUGCUAAGUCAGGGUCAGCAGCACCUCAGUUCUGAGACACUUCUGCUGGCAAACAGUGCGGCUCACGAGCAAAAGCGUCUGGUGAAAUUUUGCUUCUUUUUUUGCAAAUUCCACACCAGGUGACAGCGUGAGCCCGGCCAGCCCCACUUCCCCCAUGCACCCAUCUUCCCCAAAACUGUACAAUGAGUGAAGUAAACCGGGCACCACUGCACUUGGCCUGUCUGUCCACACGCUGAGCCCUGACCUCCAGCUUACUGCAGGUCAGCUGUCCAGGCCUGACCCCUCUAUCUUCCAGCUCCACAGCAGCUCCAAGGUGGGCAUUGUCAAGGGCUGAAGCCCUUAGCCCCUCCCCCGGUUUUGGGUGGACACCUGUCAGCGUUGUCCAGGAGCCUGGCUUCCCAGUGGCCUCACACACCUGUCGACUGAGGCUCCCACGGUCCAGGCCUGGCCACUUGCUCCCCAGGCUGCUCCCGGCCCUGCCUGGGUCCCAUCUUCCAGGUUGAUUCUGGCUGUCGCAGAGGAAGCCAAGCUGGCCACCGGCCAGUGAUUCAGCGGGCGGGGAGCUGCCAGACAAGUGCAACCAGGCACCAUGAAGUGGCCAUGCCGGCUCUGGGAACCUUGGGCACUCCUGCCCCAGUAGGAGGGUCUUUGGGGUUGUCUCAGCACUCACUGCCCCUUGUGCCUGCCUCUUCUGCUCCAGGGCCCCAAAAUCUCUGCAGGGAGGAGACUGAGGGGGACCCGGGGAGGAUGCGCUGGCUUUUGCCACCACCUUGUGGCUUAAAGCAGAAUUGCACCUUCUGCCUGGUGGUCCCCAGGAUGGCGCCUCAGUCAGGCUGGGACAGCUUGGAGGUGAAAGAUUUUUUUGUGUUAAUGUGAAUGUGGCGGGAAAAUGAGACGGAGGCUAAGCACAAGACUUGUUACCAGAGAGAACUGCUCUUGGCAUUUCUGCAUGUCUCCCCCACUUCUGCAUCUGUAAUGUGACCAGCGUCACCAACACAAGCCAUCUUGCUCCAGGGUCACAGGGAACCAUCGCAGCUACCAUCCAGGCCUCUGGUGCUUCUGCCCCUCCACACUCCCUUCCCAAGCAGAGAGCCUGUGGCUGGGACCUGGAGGUUGCAAGAUCGCCUCUCAUGGAAGGAGCUCUGGGGCGUAACUCCAGCGCUCAGGAGGCUGGAGUAAAUUCAAGAGCAGCCUGGGCUAUGAAGUGAGCUGAAGGCUGGCCUGUACUGCACGGAGAGAUCCUGUCUAGAAAGGAAAAAAAAAAAAAAAGCACUCAGGCAAGGUGCCUCAGCCUGAGGUAAUCUGAGCAGCUACCUGAGAACCUGACAGACAGCUGGACGCAGCUGCUAGGAGGACUCUGCCCUUCAGGACCAGAGGGGAGUAGCAGGGAGGGUGAGUCUCCUCCCUGGGCUGGGCUGGGCCUGUCCCUGAAAGGAGGACGGGCUUCCUUCGGCCCAGAAACCGGCUGACAGUGCUUCCGCCAUAAGUCGUGGGCAUCCUGGGCCAGUGUCUUGGUCUUGGUUCCCAUCCUGGAGUUGGCCUUCAUUAAUGCUUCUCACAACCUGGUCAUGCUCUGUAGUUCAGAUACCAGGAACUUAGUAUGCGGCCCAGCAACUCACAGGGAUCCUCCUGCCUCAGCCUCCUGAGUGCUGGGAUUACAGGUGUGCAACCCAGCUUCAGAUUUCUUCUUGUGUGACAGCCAUCAAACUACUGGUGAGGACCCGAACCCAAGAUCAGAACCUGCUUCCACAUUUGGGGUUCAUCAAGAAAGCCUAGAAGGUGGAACUGGGAGCCUUGAGCUUGUAGACUCAUCAGAAUGGGGGUUUCAAGGAGGGUCCGUGCCCCUGGUCAGCUGGGAGCAGAUGGAAACUCCUCCUUCGGGGCCCUCAGAGCUUUCGGGAGCAGGUUGCUAGGGAAGAGUGCGAAGAGCAGGGGAGAUGGACAAGCCCCUCCCUUGCCUCCACUGCACUCCAGACGGUGCCAAGCAGUUGUUCCUGCUUUUGGCACAAUAAAUAAGGAACAAAGGUUAGGGGAUCUCCUAGGUCAGCGCUGGCCCUGGAGCUCCCAGCCUGAACUUAUGACUGCGGCCCUUUUUCCUCUGCCUUCCAGGCUCAGGAAUAUGCACUGUGUCUCAUCAAUACGAUUAAGGCGAGUGGAUUCUGGGCCGGGCACCCGUGCUGAGAGCCUUCAGCGGCUUGCACCCUGCUGGUCUCCUGCCAGUCCCAUCUCUAAGCUCCCUUUCCUUCUGAGCCCAGGUGACCAGCUCCCUCUUUCCAUGGUUGCCACCGCCCCUGUCCUGUGUGCAUGCUCCUCUGUCCCCCUGUCACCUUCUUGGUCUGUGUCAUGCCUUUGCUGGCACAGACUGGCCCUGAGCACAGUUUCCUGUGAUCUUUGUGGCUUGGUUUUUCCCUCGUUGUGCACAAGAGCCAGGACUGUCUUUGGUGGGGUGUUCGGAUCCCGGCGAUUCUGAGAGAAUUUUUGGCACAGCUAAAAAGAUAAGAAGUAUGAAAUAAGAGUGGCCUUUACUUUAAGAAUGUGGAGAGAGACUCCAUGACCUCCGGGGUCUGGCAUUCUCUCUGCCUGACACGUGGUGCGGGGCCAUACAUAUAGCUUAGGUUUGGGGUGGAGCCUAAGGGGCAUUACUGAUGCACAGGUAGCCCAUUGGAAUUCAUUUUGUGCCACAGGUAAAUUGCUUAGGGGUGGGGAAGAUGACCUCAAGAUAGAGCCUCUUGGUUCAGCCUCCCACCGCUGCAGCUUCCAUCCAGGGCACAAAAUCCUUUAAUUCCUGUCUUUUUAUUAUUUGGAAAAAGGGUGAAGUUUUUCUUUCUUUUAUUGCUUCCUGCUGAAAGGGGGCACUGUACUGGGGUUUAGGAGUGUUGACAGGAUGACUGUUGAUGUCCAUGUAGAAGCUGGUGCCAGGUGUUUUAAUCAGGACAACUUUAUCACUGGUGAAUGCCCAUAUGUUAGACUGGAAAAAGAAAGAGACAAGGUCUGAUGAGGAGGCAGGCCACUAUCAUAUUUAAGGACCCAGGUGAGGUAGGAGGAAAGGUGCCUUUGAUUUAGAUAUGUCAUUUUAUCAGGACCAGGUUGAGGUAGAAUCAUUGCCACAGUAAGGUAGAAUUCUGAAAAAUAAGUGUAGGGUUAUGAGAGGUUAUUAUUAGGUAGAAUUCUGAAAGGUAAGUGUGGGGUUAUGAGAGGUGAUUAUUCCCCAUCUGAGAGAGUAAAAGUUAAGAGGGUAGAUAAGGCUUGUGUCUGGUAUGCAUGAUGUGGGAGUCUUUAGAAAAGACUGUUGAGAGUCCUGCUAUAAAAAGGAUAAUUAGUAGAAUGUAAGAAAUUAGGAACCAAAUUGGAUAACAAAACAUGACAGCCUGAGAGUUGUGGCUGUGAGGCCUUGGUGAGGUGGAGAUGAGUGGGCAAAAUGAUAGUUAGAUCUAGGGUUGGGAGGGCACCACUUAGCCUGAGUGAUGUGAAACCAGGAUGGCAGUCUAACAACUUUGACCACUGUUGAGGUUGCCAAGAAGACCAGGUAUGGGCCGCUCCACCUUGGUUGUAGUCCUUGGGAUGAUUUGCUGUAACAGGAUUUUAGUAAGUAUAUCAGCAGUCUCCCUGGUUGUGGGAAAGGCUUUUAUUUAUCCUGAAAAAGUACAAACAAAGGUGAGAAGGUAAAAUUUAUCUGUCAGUCUUGACCAGGGUUGUGUCUGAGAAACUGGUAAAUACGAAAGAAGGGGGUGCUGUAUAUCCCUGAGGAGAGAGUUUACUAGAGAUAACAGGUGUAAGCUGUUGAGACCUCAGAGUGUCUAGGUCAGUCGGCAUAAACACAAAGGAAUAAAAAGGCAUUUUUUAAGAUGUAGGACUGUAGGGCUGGGGAUUUAGCUCAGCGGCAUAAGUGCCUGCCUUGGAAGCAGGCAGUCAUGAGUUUGAUCCCCAGUACCGAUAAAAAGGAAAAAAGAUAAAAAAAAAAAAAAAGAUUUAGGACUGUAAAGUGAGUGGUGGAGGGAGGGUUUGGCACCACUGGGUGGAUUGGGGUAACAGCACUAUUGAGUAUCUUAAGGUCUUGUAAUAGAGGGUAAGACCCAUCAGGCUUGAGUACCAGGAGAUUAGAAGUAUUAUAGGGUGAAGGGGUAGGUUUAAGAAAACCAUUGUCUAAAAGGCACUUAAUUAUAGGUUUAAGUACCUGUAAAUGUUUGGAAGCUAUGGGAUAUUGGGGAACACAAGGAAGAAUUGAAGGAUCCCUGAGAUGAAUUAAUAAUAGGCAUGGCAUGGGCAGUGCAGGUGGGAUUGGAGGUAUCUCAAACUAUGGGAUCGACCAGAGAAGAAGCAGUCUGGAACCUGAUGAAAUAGGCCCUGUCUGUAAAGGCUGCAUAGGUUGGCUAUCAAUACCCCCUAUAGAGACUGAGGACUUAAUAUAAUGGCCUGAAAGCUCAGGAAGAACCCUAUACAUGGCCUCUAUGUCCACAAGUAUAGAGAAUGUCUUACCUGAGACUUCUAGUGGGACUUGGGACUCUGAGAAGGAUACCUUAAUGAGGGCUGUGGACCCUGAACCCCAUUAGUCUUCAGCAGCAAAUCCAAGCAGAUCUGUCAGUGAUGAAUCUAGCAGUGUUGGCAUUUCCUGUGAGGGCUAGAAUUUAGGAUGGCUUACCCACUCUCUGGUGGCUAGGACUGUCCAGUAGUCCUGGGGUAAGGUCCCAAAGGAACGCCAGGAUGGAGCACUCUCUUGCCCAAUGUCCUUUUGCUACAUUUGAGGCAUGAUCCAGGAAGGGCUCAGGAAGCUCCACCUUGUGUUGGUUUACCUAUCUCAAAGCCCCAAGUGUCACUGCUAAAAGAUCAGAUUGUUAUUUUUUUAUCUCUGUUGUUGAAAACAUGAAAAGCCAUAUUAAGAAGGUCUCCCUGUGGGGUUUGAGGGCCAAGUUUAGCCUUUUGUCUUGGGAUCUGGUCCACAGUAGAAGGUAUCUGUAGAAUUAAUUAAGUAUGCAGGAGCCAAAUACAAUCAACAGGGUGUUUAUGAUUAUAACUUUAGUAAUGGCUUCCCAUAAGGAGGAUAAGGUCCAGAGAAUUUUAGGAACUGACAUGUCAUUUAUUUGUCAUAUAUAAGUAUCUCUUUAUGCUAUUAAAAUAUCUAAUGCCAUCUGAUUUUUUGAGGAUGGCCUGUUUUAUUAAUUUUACCUUUUUAUUUAGGAGAGAGAUCAGCUACGGUGUCAUUUAACACCAGUUGAAUACAAUUAAUUAUGGCUCGGUGGAGUGCGGAGCCAGGGCAGGCAGACAGGCUGGGAAAGGCUCAAGCCUGGCCUCUGCCCCAGUGUUGGUCUGUGUGUUUUGCAUGCAUCAUAUAACCUUUUUUUCUGGAAAAGAUGUAGUGGUUCCCAGCAAAAGGAAUCCAAAAGGAAUUUAUAAUUACCUCUUAAUUUCAGGUGUUAAACAUCUAGAAGAUUGAUAACAGUACAGUGCAAUAUAGGCAGUAAGCUUAACAAAGAACAUUAAAUGGCUACCAACCAUGAGUGUUUUAACAUUUGAACGCUGAAGAAAUUUGUGAAAUAUCUCUAAGCGUAUGGCUGGAUCUGAAAGAAAACAUUUGUCAUCAUACAUUACAUAAACUUUUGUUUAAAAUUAUUUGACUGGUUUACUCAUGUUGGUCUGAUUUGUAUCUCUUGGCUAGAACACAAGAAAAAGACAGCAGAAACAAUCCCCAUUUUACACUUGAAAGUAUGAAUAUACCUUCAGAUCACCAGCAAUGAAUUGUCUUAGUCAUAUGAACUUUAGUUGAGGUGUCUCACAUAAGGCUAUGGGAGAUUAUUGAAGGCUUUAAUUGAUAAACAAGGCUGGUAAAAUUACCAGGUGGCCACUUCCCUGUUUAUCACUUAAAGUUUGUCUAUUGUCUUUUCACCCCAGUUUAUUUAACCAGUUUUAGCAACAUUUUGACCAGCUGGCAAACUAGGUGGAAGCAUGUUUUUUUGUUGUUGUUUUUUGUCUUUUUGAGACAGGGUCUCGCUAUGCAGUUCAGGCUGGCCUUGAGCUCACUUUGUAGCCCAGGCUGGUCUUGAACUCAAAACGAUCCUCCUGCCUCAGCCUCCGGAGUGCUGGGAUUACAGGCGUGAGCCAGCACGCCCGGCUGAAGCAUGUUUUUUAAUAUAACCCAAAUAAAACUUGAUUAAAUGGUUUGAGAAUGUAAAAGGGAAAAAAAUGUUGAGCUCAAACAAGAAGGAACAGCUGUUCACAGAGCAGACAAAUGGACAAACAUGGACAAUCUGUAAACAGACUGAACAAACAACAGAUAUAUCUUAUAAAAUCAGAGUGCACUCUAAUAUAUUUGGCCAAUUUGAACUGUAUUAAAUAAGACUUGUGAAUCCUUUUGUAAAUUAGAGAUCUCUUGAAAUAAGAA
This is a long non-coding RNA of Cavia porcellus (domestic guinea pig), 7043 nucleotides long. RefSeq lists it as uncharacterized. The transcript is spliced from 3 exons. NCBI's taxonomy places the organism in Eukaryota, Metazoa, Chordata, Mammalia, Rodentia, Caviidae. The record is from RefSeq and is a predicted model, not a curated record.